This 650-nucleotide ribosomal RNA is filed under the name uncultured bacterium. RNAcentral's name for it is "bacterial SSU rRNA". It matches the Rfam family "Bacterial small subunit ribosomal RNA", at positions 22 to 664 of the family's 1533-position model. The record is from RNAcentral.
GCUCAGGAUGAACGCUAGCGGCAGGCUUAACACAUGCAAGUCGUGGGGCAGCGCAAGGGUAGCAAUACUCUGGCGGCGACCGGCAAACGGGUGCGGAACACGUACGCAACCUUCCUCAAAGCGGGGGAUAGCCUCUCGAAAGAGAGAUUAAUACCCCAUAGUAUCUCGAAACUGCAUGGUUUUGAGAUUAAAGCUCCGGCACUUUGAGAUGGGCGUGCGGCUGAUUAGGUAGUUGGUAGGGUAACGGCCUACCAAGCCGACGAUCAGUAGCUGAUGUGAGAGCAUGAUCAGCCACACGGGCACUGAGACACGGGCCCGACUCCUACGGGAGGCAGCAGUGAGGAAUAUUGGUCAAUGGAGGCAACUCUGAACCAGCCAUGCCGCGUGAAGGAUGAAGGUCCUCUGGAUUGUAAACUUCUUUUAUAGAAGAAGAAACCCCGGAUUUCUAUCUGGGUUGACGGUACUCUAUGAAUAAGCACCGGCUAACUCCGUGCCAGCAGCCGCGGUAAUACGGAGGGUGCAAGCGUUAUCCGGAUUCACUGGGUUUAAAGGGAGCGUAGGUGGGCUUGUAAGUCAGCGGUGAAAUCCCCGAGCUUAACUUGGGAACUGCCAUUGAUACUACAAGUCUUGAAUUCUGUGGAGGUAAGCGG